CUCUGGGAUAAGCCUGGGAAACUGGGUCUAAUACCGGAUAUGACCGCAUGCUGCAUGGUGUGUGGUGGGGGACUCGCAAGGGCCUCACGCUAUGGGAGCGGCCGAUGUCCGAUUAGCUUGUUGGCGGGGUAAUGGCCCACCAAGGCGACGAUCGGUAGCUGGUCUGAGAGGAUGAUCAGCCACACUGGGACUGAGACACGGCCCAG
RNAcentral lists this ribosomal RNA (206 nucleotides) under uncultured bacterium. RNAcentral's name for it is "partial 16S ribosomal RNA". It matches the Rfam family "Bacterial small subunit ribosomal RNA", at positions 136 to 334 of the family's 1533-position model. The record is from RNAcentral.